RNAcentral lists this ribosomal RNA (250 nucleotides) under uncultured Chroococcidiopsis sp. Its description in RNAcentral is "partial 16S ribosomal RNA". It matches the Rfam family "Bacterial small subunit ribosomal RNA", at positions 796 to 1044 of the family's 1533-position model. The record is from RNAcentral. Lineage: Bacteria; Bacillati; Cyanobacteriota; Cyanophyceae; Chroococcidiopsidales; Chroococcidiopsidaceae.
CUAGCCGUAAACGAUGGAUACUAGGCGUUGUGAGUAUCGACCCUCACAGUGUCGUAGCUAACGCGUUAAGUAUCCCGCCUGGGGAGUACGCGCGCAAGCGUGAAACUCAAAGGAAUUGACGGGGGCCCGCACAAGCGGUGGAGUAUGUGGUUUAAUUCGAUGCAACGCGAAGAACCUUACCAGGACUUGACAUGUCGCAAAUCUCAGGGAAACUUGAGAGUGCCUUCGGGAGCGCGAACACAGGUGGUGC